RNAcentral lists this transfer RNA (66 nucleotides) under Dipodomys ordii (Ord's kangaroo rat). It matches the Rfam family "tRNA". From Rfam's summary of the family: Transfer RNA (tRNA) molecules are approximately 80 nucleotides in length. Their secondary structure includes four short double-helical elements and three loops (D, anti-codon, and T loops). The record is from Rfam by way of RNAcentral. Lineage: Eukaryota; Metazoa; Chordata; Mammalia; Rodentia; Heteromyidae.
AAUGUGGCUCACUGGUAGAGUGCUUGCCUUGCAUGCAUGAGGCCCUGGGUUUGAUUCCUCAGCAUU